Oryza rufipogon (brownbeard rice) is the source of this 208-nucleotide microRNA precursor. It matches the Rfam family "MIR812 microRNA precursor family". NCBI's taxonomy places the organism in Eukaryota, Viridiplantae, Streptophyta, Magnoliopsida, Poales, Poaceae. The record is from Rfam.
AAAAAAACAAACCCUGAGUUUCUGUGUCCAACGCUUGACCGUCCGUCUUAUUUAAAAAAAUUAUAAAAAAAUUUAAAAAGACAAGUCACGCAUAAAGUAUUAAACAUGUUUUAUCAUCUAAGAACAAUGAAAAUACUAAUUAUAAAAAAAAGUUUAUAUAAAACGGACAGUCAAACAUUGGACACGGAAAAUUAGGGUUUGUCUUUUU